UACGAAGGGGGCUAGCGUUGUUCGGAAUUACUGGGCGUAAAGCGCACGUAGGCGGAUAUUUAAGUCAGGGGUGAAAUCCCAGAGCUCAACUCUGGAACUGCCUUUGAUACUGGGUAACUCGAGUAUGGAAGAGGUGAGUGGAAUUCCGAGUGUAGAGGUGAAAUUCGUAGAUAUUCGGAGGAACACCAGUGGCGAAGGCGGCUCACUGGUCCAUUACUGACGCUGAGGUGCGAAAGCGUGGGGAGCAAACAGG
This 253-nucleotide ribosomal RNA is filed under the name uncultured bacterium. RNAcentral's name for it is "partial 16S ribosomal RNA". It matches the Rfam family "Bacterial small subunit ribosomal RNA", at positions 524 to 776 of the family's 1533-position model. The record is from RNAcentral.